CUAGACAAGAGGGCCUUGAUCCCACAACAACCUAGUUAACAGCUAGGCACCCUAUCCAGCGGGCUUCUGUCCG
This 73-nucleotide transfer RNA is filed under the name Basiliscus galeritus. Its description in RNAcentral is "tRNA-Asn". The record is from RNAcentral. Lineage: Eukaryota; Metazoa; Chordata; Lepidosauria; Squamata; Corytophanidae.